Molecule: long non-coding RNA, 626 nt
Organism: Cervus elaphus (red deer)
Lineage: Eukaryota; Metazoa; Chordata; Mammalia; Artiodactyla; Cervidae
Exons: 4
Source: RefSeq, a predicted model, not a curated record
CCCCCGCCACAGUCAUUUCGCCCGCCUGCUGCAGCUCCUUGGUGACCACGGUGACACCCAGACGAACGCACGUACCCAACCCUUCUGAGGCUCUGCGCGAGAUAGCAGGUAUCAGACACAGACACUUCCUGCCAAGGAGCACCAGUCCAUUCCACCAGGCUUCUCCAGGGCCCAAACACUCAGAACUUACAGCCUAUUCGCUUUAGAGGCUUGGUCAGAACCAGGAAGAUUUGGAGACGUUCUUCUCAUCAGCAAGAUUAUUUUUACCUCUGUCCCCAGCCUUGUAGGGACAUUUGGCCAUGUGUGGAGACACGUUCGGUCGUCACAUCUGACGGGAAAGUGUGUUAUUAGCACGUCGCAUGUAGAACCAGGAUGUUGCUCCAGAGUCCCCGUGCACAGGCUGGUCCCACACAAGGACCUAAAUGUGGGGGCCAACUCUGAAACCCGACUGCCAAGCUGAAUCCUAGCUCCUGCCCUCUGCGACUCUGGGAGUGCUCUUGGGAGGAGAUGAGUGAGGGGAACCAGACAGAACAAGAGGAAGAAAGGGAAACAUGAAUUUGUUCGUGUUCUCAUCUGGAGACUGUCCUCAGCCUGGUUCUCAGGGGAGCAUCAGAGCAUGACGGCAC